Molecule: ribosomal RNA, 440 nt
Filed under: uncultured bacterium
Lineage: Bacteria
Description: partial 16S ribosomal RNA
Rfam family: Bacterial small subunit ribosomal RNA
Source: RNAcentral
CUACGGGCGGCUCCAGUGAGGAAUAUUGCACAAUGGAGGAAACUCUGAUGCAGCAACGCCGCGUGGAGGAUGACGCAUUUCGGUGUGUAAACUCCUUUUAUGAGUCAAGAAAAUGACGGUAGCUCAUGAAUAAGCACCGGCUAACUCCGUGCCAGCAGCCGCGGUAAUACGGAGGGUGCAAGCGUUACUCGGAAUCACUGGGCGUAAAGGACGCGUAGGCGGGAUAUCAAGUCAGGUGUGAAAUCCUACAGCUUAACUGUAGAACUGCACUUGAAACUGGUAACCUAGAGUAUGGGAGGGGGAGAUGGAAUUAGUGGUGUAGGGGUAAAAUCCGUAGAUAUCACUAGGAAUACCUAAAGCGAAGGCGAUCUCCUGGAACAUAACUGACGCUAAGGCGUGAAAGCGUGGGGAGCAAACAGGAUUAGAUACCCUUAGUAGUC